This is a long non-coding RNA of Hemibagrus wyckioides, 1478 nucleotides long. RefSeq lists it as uncharacterized. NCBI's taxonomy places the organism in Eukaryota, Metazoa, Chordata, Actinopteri, Siluriformes, Bagridae. The transcript is spliced from 3 exons. The record is from RefSeq and is a predicted model, not a curated record.
UCUCACCAUUUUCUCUCUCUCUCUCUCUCUCUCUCUCUGCAGAUGACUACUUGCUUCCACUAGUAGAGGAAAUCCACCCUUCUAAUGCCAACAAAAUCACUUGGAUGCUUGUGGAAAGAGAAAACAAUACUGAGAUCAUGAACGUGAUCAGAGAUCCCGAGCUCCUGUGCACCAGGGUGGAUGAAAUGGAUGCUCUACUAAAGGCAAGAGAUGCUGGUCUCAAGCCGGAAAUCCUAAAGAAGCUGUAUGGGAAUAACAAGAAGAGGAAGAAGGGAAAGUAGAAGAAAAAGAAUCAUAGCAUCAACACUGCAAAUCAAAUAUGCUGAAAUAAAAUUUUAAUACAGAAACUUUGAACGAAGCUGUCCAGCUGUUGCCAUAAUGUCUAGAAUAACUUUUCAAAUAGACCAUGAGCAUACUAGUUAUGUCAGAAAUCUGAAGCGAUCUCAAACCUCUAAAUCUUAUCAUAACCUAGUUUACCUGGAUAAAUGGGAUGAACAUUGUGAAAUGAAAUAACUAGUUAAUAGUUUGUGAAAGCGGACACAUGUGGCUUCAGUCCCUCCAGGAUUUCGCACAGUUGUUCAUGCUUUAAUUGCUGAAAGCCACUUGAAUUGGCACAGAAUUCUGUUUUGAACUCCUACCAGUGAAAACACAUACAUAAUUACUGUACUUUCUACAUUAGCCGUACUCAUGUUUGACGCGUGAGAAUUAAAGACCUGCAAGUGAACUGCAAUUCUGAUUUUCACCUGAUGGUGGCAGCAGACUGCAUUCACACUAAAAUUCCAAGAGCCUUUUGCCCAAGCUGCAAAUUAAUUUACUGACUAAUACAUCUACAUACUAUAAAAAAGUGAGAAGGGGCAUCUCAGAGAGCUGGGUUUGAUGUCACCGUAUACUUACCGUGAAUGUGAAGUCACAUGACGCAUUCUUUUUAUUGAGCCAAGCAUUAUGAUUUGUCUCGUGUAAGCUGCUGUCAUCUUUUGUUUGCAGUUAUUUUGAAGGUUACUAUGCAUGUAGGUGACAGAUAGGUGACAUCAACUUCACGUCACUAUAAUACCCAUAAUGCAAAUUUCAUUGAACUAAGCCUUUUCAUAUCAUGCCUAUGCUGCAGUAGUUUUGUGAUACCACUGAUUUUAGGUCUUGCUAGACUGAUAGAGUGAUGGAUGGAGAGAGUGUUAUUAUUAGAAGGAGGGAGUAAGAGAUACAGGUAGAUUGAUAGAAAUAUGGAGUGUGUGUGUGUUACUGAUAGAGAGAUGGAUGUAGACAGUGUGUAGUGAUAGAUAGAUACAGGGAUUAGACAAUGAAGCUCUCACUCCUGGUUUAAUUAAUUAGCAGAUCAAAAUAAUUUUAGACCAAAAUAAUUUAUUAGUAUGCUGUAGUUCCUUUUUUGCAGCCAAUACAUACUUUAUUGCUUUUUAAUAACCUGUCUGCACUGUAUCCCAGUCACAUGUUUACAUCUUUCUGAACCAUUCACAGUAUUUGGG